CUCAAAAACAAAAACAAAAAUAUUUGCAUUCUUUUCUUACUACUGUCUAGGAGGUGAAGAUCGAGAACUUAUUCAGAGAAAGAAAGAGAAAUAUAGACAAGAACUAUUGGAACAAAUGGCUGAGCAACAGAAAAACAAGAGACGAGAAAAAGAUUUAGAACUCAGGGUUGCAGCUUCUGGAGCACAAGACCCUGAGAAAUCGACUAAAGCAGUUUCGUGUGGCACCAAGACACUUUGAAGAGACGAUACCACCUGAGAGACCCAGAGUAGCUUUCCAGACACCUCUCCCUCCUUUAUCUGCCCCAUCUGCCCCACCCAUGCCAUCAGUUCC
Molecule: non-coding RNA, 331 nt
Organism: Microcebus murinus (gray mouse lemur)
Lineage: Eukaryota; Metazoa; Chordata; Mammalia; Primates; Cheirogaleidae
Source: RefSeq, a predicted model, not a curated record